RNAcentral lists this ribosomal RNA (253 nucleotides) under uncultured bacterium. RNAcentral describes it as "partial 16S ribosomal RNA". It matches the Rfam family "Bacterial small subunit ribosomal RNA", at positions 524 to 776 of the family's 1533-position model. The record is from RNAcentral.
UACGUAGGGCGCAAGCGUUAAUCGGAAUUACUGGGCGUAAAGCGAGCGCAGGCGGUCGUGUAAGACAGAUGUGAAAUCCCCGGGCUCAACCUGGGAACUGCAUUUGUGACUGCACGGCUAGAGUGCGUCAGAGGGGGGUGGAACUCCACGUGUAGCAGUGAAAUGCGUAGAGAUGUGGAAGAACACCGAUGGCGAAGGCAGCCCCCUGGGAUGACACUGACGCUCAUGCUCGAAAGCGUGGGGAGCAAACAGG